Molecule: ribosomal RNA, 253 nt
Filed under: uncultured bacterium
Lineage: Bacteria
Description: partial 16S ribosomal RNA
Rfam family: Bacterial small subunit ribosomal RNA
Source: RNAcentral
CUGAGGUGGCGAGCGGCGGACGGGUGAGUAAUGCUUGGGAACAUGCCUUUAGGUGGGGGACAACAGUUGGAAACGACUUCUAAUACCGCAUGAUGUCUACGGACCAAAGUGGGGGACCUUCGGGCCUCACGCCUAAAGAUUGGCCCAAGUGGGAUUAGCUAGUUGGUGAGGUAAUGGCUCACCAAGGCGACGAUCCCUAGCUGGUUUGAGAGGAUGAUCAGCCACACUGGAACUGAGACACGGUCCAGACUCC